This 23-nucleotide small nuclear RNA is filed under the name Arabidopsis thaliana (thale cress). RNAcentral's name for it is "snRNA_07804". Lineage: Eukaryota; Viridiplantae; Streptophyta; Magnoliopsida; Brassicales; Brassicaceae. The record is from RNAcentral.
UAGUAUACAUGCAAUAAUGAGAU